RNAcentral lists this microRNA precursor (241 nucleotides) under Oryza rufipogon (brownbeard rice). RNAcentral describes it as "MIR812 microRNA precursor family". It matches the Rfam family "MIR812 microRNA precursor family". Lineage: Eukaryota; Viridiplantae; Streptophyta; Magnoliopsida; Poales; Poaceae. The record is from Rfam by way of RNAcentral.
AAUAAGUGCAGAUUUAGCACUAUUCAUGUUUAACGUUUGACCGUUUGUUUUAUUUAAAAAAAGAUUAUGAUUAGUAUUUUUAUUAUUAUUAGAUGAUAAAACAUGAAUAGUACUUUAUGUGUGACUAAUUUUUUUAAUAUUUUUCAUAAAUUUUUCAAAUAAGACGUUUGACCAUCCGUCUUAUUUGAAAGAUGGUCAAAACNNNNNNNACUAAACACGGAUAUUUAUGGCUGCACUUAUU